GACGAACGCUGGCGGCGUGCUUAACACAUGCAAGUCGAACGGAAAGGCCCUGCUUUUGUGGGGUGCUCGAGUGGCGAACGGGUGAGUAACACGUGAGUAACCUGCCCUUUACUUUGGGAUAACUUCAGGAAACUGGGGCUAAUACCGGAUAGGAGCUCCUGCUGCAUGGUGGGGGUUGGAAAGUUUCGGCGGUUGGGGAUGGACUCGCGGCUUAUCAGCUUGUUGGUGGGGUAGUGGCUUACCAAGGCUUUGACGGGUAGCCGGCCUGAGAGGGUGACCGGCCACAUUGGGACUGAGAUACGGCCCAGACUCCUACGGGAGGAAGAAGUGGGGAAUAUUGAACAAUGGGCGGAAGCCUGAUGCAGCAACGCCGCGUGCGGGAUGACGGCCUUCGGGUUGUAAACCGCUUUCGCCUGUGACGAAGCGUGAGUGACGGUAAUGGGUAAAGAAGCACCGGCUAACUACGUG
Molecule: ribosomal RNA, 468 nt
Filed under: uncultured bacterium
Lineage: Bacteria
Description: partial 16S ribosomal RNA
Rfam family: Bacterial small subunit ribosomal RNA
Source: RNAcentral